CACGUAGGGCGCAAGCGUUGUCCGGAAUUAUUGGGCGUAAAGAGCGUGUAGGCGGUCCGGUAAGUCCGUUGUGAAAGUCAGGGGCUCAACCCUUGAAUGCCGGCGGAUACUGUCGGGCUAGAGUCCGGAAGAGGCGAGUGGAAUUCCCGGUGUAGCGGUGAAAUGCGCAGAUAUCGGGAGGAACACCUAUGGCGAAGGCAGCUCGCUGGGACGGUACUGACGCUGAGACGCGAAAGCGUGGGGAGCAAACAGG
Molecule: ribosomal RNA, 253 nt
Filed under: uncultured bacterium
Lineage: Bacteria
Description: partial 16S ribosomal RNA
Rfam family: Bacterial small subunit ribosomal RNA
Source: RNAcentral